AGAUAACCAGUGCUAACAGUUGGCAGUACUUGGUAUAUGGCAGGCUCUCAUGAAUGGCAGCUUCAUCUAUAAAGUAGUUUCUGUAUUAAGUACUACAAUGGAUAUGCCUGCUCACAAAUGGGAAAAUUGUCAGCAACUGUGGCUUGUUGCAGUACAGCUGGGGUGAGACCAAAGAGUAGGAGGACAGCAAGCUGGCGCUUUGAGGACCCCUCUGCCAACAGCUUCUUGCCAGGGCUGGGCUAAGCCAGCAUGCCCCUCUUUAACCAUAAGGCUGUUCUCUGCUCUUCCCAGACACCGGUCCAUUUCACAGUCAAGUGGAAAGAACAUAAACUAGGGCUCAGCCUGAGUCUGACUCUACCAUUAGGCAAAUCAUUGAACCUCUUUAGAUAAGCUUUCCCACCUCACAGAGUAAGGCAUCAAAUGAGACAAAGGAAAGAUCUGUUAAAGCACUAAAACUCUCAUUGAAUAAGACAGAGAUUUUCUUGUCUUGGCAACAGUCUUGAUGCUCAAGGGAUAAACCUGGCUACUCAGUUCUUCAACCACAAGAUGCAUGUGACUCCAGAAGAGUGGAGAAAAAGGGAAAGGGGUAGAGUGAUUCCAAUAACGAGUCAAAAGUACCACAUGGGAGAGAGGGAUAAGUACAAGAUUUGAGUGUGUCAGAAGGUAUAUAUGUCAAAGCAGAAUGUGACCUGCCUGGGUCUCACACUUGCCAGGAAUGGACCUGUCCACCCACCUGGGGGACGAGAGCUGAGUUGGAGCCCAGGAACCCUAACAGAUGCAGUUCCAAUUUAGCAACAAGAAGAAGUCCUCUCCAAGGCAACCCAGGCGAACAUACCGCCCACUGGGCUGGACUAAAAAUACACCCGCAUGGUUUUAACGUCACACCUGAAGUAAAAAUACAUCCAACCAGGGCUGCUGGCUCGUUCCCUCCAUCACCACUCUCUUCUCUCCAUCUGGUGCCUCUGAGGGGAGGAGAAGCAGUGGGCUGGCCUGGGCAAGCACCUUGCUUCACACCCUCUCCCAUCCCUUUAAGGUCCCACCACCCCCUCCCUGUACACAUACUCCAGCUCAGCCCCGCAUGAGGCAGGUCGUUUUGUAGCAACUGUGGCUAGAAGCAGCCAGAUGGCCAAUCUGCUCUGGGUCCCCAAGUACGGAUAGAUUGUCAGCCUGAAGGAUCUCAGGGAUCCUGUCUCAGAGCCCACAUUCCCAUGGUCGUUGCUUGCUUUAUGCAUUCACCCAUUCAUUCAUUCCCAUUCACUGAUCCAUCACAUUUUACUGACCCUCUGCUCUGUGCUGCAUGCUGCACCUAGCUCUUAGCAGUUCCAAAGGAUGAACUGAGGUCUCUGACUGCAGGUAGUGAGGAAGACAGAUCGGUGCACAACAAACUGUGGCUACUAGAAUGUAACAAGUAUCACAGGGAAAUAAAAAUAAAUCCUUACUGAUAGUGCUUUUUUUGGUCAAAAGAAAAUGAAGUUUUGAGUUCUAAAAAAAAAUAGUAAGAUUCUCCCC
This 1509-nucleotide long non-coding RNA is filed under the name Fukomys damarensis (Damara mole-rat). RNAcentral describes it as "lncRNA (ENSFDAG00000025678.1)". Lineage: Eukaryota; Metazoa; Chordata; Mammalia; Rodentia; Bathyergidae. The record is from RNAcentral.